Scleropages formosus (Asian bonytongue) is the source of this 98-nucleotide long non-coding RNA. RefSeq lists it as uncharacterized. Lineage: Eukaryota; Metazoa; Chordata; Actinopteri; Osteoglossiformes; Osteoglossidae. The record is from RefSeq and is a predicted model, not a curated record. The transcript is spliced from 3 exons.
GGGACAGAAUGAGGUACAAAUGAAGGACAGAAUGAGGUACAAAUGGAGUAAGGAUAGUGACGUGGGACAGAAUGAGGUAAAAUGGAGUAAGGAUAGUG